This is a long non-coding RNA of Spodoptera frugiperda (fall armyworm), 493 nucleotides long. RefSeq lists it as uncharacterized. The record is from RefSeq and is a predicted model, not a curated record. The transcript has 3 exons. Lineage: Eukaryota; Metazoa; Arthropoda; Insecta; Lepidoptera; Noctuidae.
GUCACUUACUCCGCCAUAGGCAUAAUACGGCUCUGACCCUUAUCUAUGGUCAAGACCCGCUAUCGCAACGCGGAUUUCAUAUAUUUGCGCUUAAUUCAUUCGACUGUUUGUGUUCCUUAGUGCAAUCUCUUUGUCUUUUUCCGUAUUUGUGUGGAACAAUAUAACGCACCACGAUGAAGAUAUUGUGUGUCCUUAUACUAUGCACUAUUGCACUAUCAUGCGCUGAGGAUACGGGGGCCUACUACUGUGGACGUCGACUUGUUACCAAAUUAAGUUCGCUUUGUUAUAAUAAUCAAGAUUUGAUUUUAUCCCAACUUCAAAAUCAACAGGGUGACCAGCAGAAUGAUCAACCGCUUCAACAAAGGACCAGGCGCUCUUUAGUUGACGAUUGCUGCAUCAACAAGUGUGAUGAGAAAACAAUUCUCAGCUAUUGUUAUUAAAGUUAUAAAAUGUGUGUAGAAUGUAUAAUAUAGAAUAAAUGUUCUGAAGUCAA